GUGACAUGCUUGCCCCCCUCCUAUGGUUUCACAUUAUUGUCUAAGUCAAUUUAAAGAUUAAACGAUUAAGAUCACCUAGAUGUAUCAUGUUAAUAUUUGAUAAAGCCCAGAGAUUUAAGGAAGUCUUGAAGAAACUGGGGCUGACAGCACUAUGGAUCCUAAAGUAAUUUUCAUUAAGAGAAUAAGUUUUUGCUUUCAGAUUUGAUCAUUAAGAAGGCCAGAAUAUCUGUAAAAUUUGACAAAUCUGCAGGAAGGAGUCCAUUUGACUUGAGGAAAAGGGAAAACAAG
RNAcentral lists this unclassified non-coding RNA (288 nucleotides) under Hevea brasiliensis (rubber tree). Lineage: Eukaryota; Viridiplantae; Streptophyta; Magnoliopsida; Malpighiales; Euphorbiaceae. The record is from RNAcentral.